RNAcentral lists this ribosomal RNA (472 nucleotides) under uncultured bacterium. RNAcentral's name for it is "partial 16S ribosomal RNA". It matches the Rfam family "Bacterial small subunit ribosomal RNA", at positions 28 to 507 of the family's 1533-position model. The record is from RNAcentral.
GACGAACGCUGGCGGCGUGCUUAACACAUGCAAGUCGAACGAUGAACCCGGAGCUUGCUCUGGGGGAUUAGUUGCGAACGGGUGAGUAACACGUGAGUAACCUGCCCUGGACUCUGGGAUAAGCGUUGGAAACGACGUCUAAUACCGGAUAGGACCUUGGAUCGCUUGAUCUGGGGUGGAAAGUUUUUUCGGUCUGGGAUGGACUCGCGGACUAUCAGCUUGUUGGUGAGGUAAUGGCUCACCAAGGCGUCGACGGGUAGCCGGCCUGAGAGGGUUACCGGCCACACUGGGACUGAUACACGGCACAGACUCCUACGGGAGGCAGCAGUGGGGAAUAUUGCACAAUGUGCGAAAGGCUGAUGCAGCAACGCCGCGUGCGGGAUGACGGCCUUCGGGUUGUAAACCUCUUUUAGUAGGGAAGAAGGGCUUCGGCUUGACGGUACCUGCAGAAAAAGGACCGGCUAACUACGUG